RNAcentral lists this ribosomal RNA (254 nucleotides) under uncultured bacterium. RNAcentral describes it as "partial 16S ribosomal RNA". It matches the Rfam family "Bacterial small subunit ribosomal RNA", at positions 524 to 776 of the family's 1533-position model. The record is from RNAcentral.
UACGUAGGGGGCAAGCGUUGUCCGGAAUUAUUGGGCGUAAAGAGCUCGUAGGCGGUGUGUCGCGUCGGCCGUGAAAACCUGCAGCUUAACUGUGGGCUUGCGGUCGAUACGGGCAUCACUGGAGUUCGGCAGGGGAGACUGGAAUUCCUGGUGUAGCGGUGAAAUGCGCAGAUAUCAGGAGGAACACCGAUGGCGAAGGCAGGUCUCUGGGCAUUAACUGACGCUGAGGAGCGAAAGCAUGGGGAGCGAACAGG